CGCGCGCAUGCGCUGCGGGGCCUCACCUGGGGGCCUCGCCUAGGGGCAGCUCCACGGGCUCUCUGGGCCCCGCUAGAGGCUGGAGCUCGGGUUCGAGAGCCGGAAGAGCGGAGGCUGGAGAAGCCCGUGCCGGUGUUCACCUCUCGGCUGGCUCUGGGCCGGCAGGUUACCUGACUCCCUAUCCUAAGUGUCUAUAACUAGAUUAAAACACUUUUGCAUCACUCUGAAAAAGAGCUCUCUUCUGGGAAACAGUGAUGUUUUAAUGAGCAGCAGUAUGUCAAGAUCUGGACAACAGGUUACUGACAAGUCUCCUUUUAAAAUAAGCAUCACUACUGGGAUGUGCGUCAUGGUGCAAAUUAUUAAGUCAGCUGGUGAGUGAAAAAUGAACCCAUUUCAAAUUUUUAUUUUGAUAACCUUGCUUAACUUUUGUUGCUGAAAAUACUCACAUGAUGAUAGUAUAGAUGGCAAAGAUAAUCGC
RNAcentral lists this long non-coding RNA (478 nucleotides) under Mustela putorius furo (domestic ferret). Its description in RNAcentral is "lncRNA (ENSMPUG00000028955.1)". Lineage: Eukaryota; Metazoa; Chordata; Mammalia; Carnivora; Mustelidae. The record is from RNAcentral.